Hydra vulgaris (swiftwater hydra) is the source of this 686-nucleotide non-coding RNA. The record is from RefSeq and is a predicted model, not a curated record. NCBI's taxonomy places the organism in Eukaryota, Metazoa, Cnidaria, Hydrozoa, Anthoathecata, Hydridae.
UUAUCUCCUUAUUAAAUAUAAAAGCUUGCCUCGUGUAAUUUCAAAAGUUUCAAAACUGUUUGCAUUAGAGUAUUUUACAGAAUACAGAACCGUUACUAAUAUCGAACAAUAGUAACUAACGGCAUUGAACAUUGAACAUUGAACAUUGACUUCUAGCAAUUAUAUUGAAGAUCUAUAUAAUGAUGAAUAAAUAGAUAUUUCUUUUUUAUAGAUUUUUGUAGAAGUUUAUUGUAUUUAGUUUUAGUAUAUCUAUGUAUUUAAAUUGAUUUUUUAUAUUUAGGUUGAUGGUUUGCAACAUCACUUUGAUGUUUUGAUGUGUGGAGUGAAUGCUGGUGAACUCUAGAUGAUGAAAAGUUUAUGGUCAACUUGCAUUCUUUUUUUAGGAAAUUUGCUAUUUACAGCAAAUUGAUUCAUGCUGGUAGUUAAUUGCAUUGUUGUGGUUGAUGAAAUUACCAAUUUUGUCAAGUCAUUUUGUUGUUUGUUUUCGAGUUUUUAUAUUUUCAAUAUACCAUAUUCAAAAGAAGCUUCAUCUAUAUUAGAAUUUUGUCAAUGUGCAAUUUUCGGCAUCAAUCCUGAAAAAAGGAGCAAAUCACGGCGAACAAAAAAGACUUCAUCAAUAAGCAAAAUUUUGUUGUCAAUACUGCAGAAGUUUGCGAGAUUUAAUAAUAUUUGAAUUUAUCACGUAG